AAUUUUGACAUUGGAUUUAAGUGAGAAUAUUUUUUGGUGGAACAAGUUUGAAAGUGUUUAAGUUGCAGCAAAUAGUCACGAAUGAUCUUUAUAUGCAAAAUGGCUCACUUUGACAAGGUUCUAAUUGAUGCAUUUCUAAAAUUUAUCAAACUAUCCUGCAACUUCAAAUUUUUGUCAAGAAUUGUAACCUUUCUGCCUGGUAAAAGCAGGCUAGCUUAAUCACGCUAUAAUAACUAUAAGACCUCAUGGAUAAUCAGAGAUUACAUUUUCAAGUCAGACCUCAUGGAUGAAAUACGUACUAAUGUGUUGAGAAAGCCGAUGAGAAGGCUUGCUUUGAAUGUAGGCUGCAUCAUAUAUGCACCAUCAACACAGUGGUACUAGAUUAUCAUUCGACAUGGUUAGAAACUUCAUACUGUAGAAACCAAAUCAUAAGGUCUACCUUGAGGAAGCAAGUCAGAUGUCGAAGCCAGAUGUUACCAUAGAUAAUUCACUCACAAUCACAACUGGAUAAGGUGCCAUCUACUGGUAAAAAAAACUUCUGUACAGGAAAUGGUGCUAUUAGAAGCAUCUAAUAAUAAACAGUUUAAACUGAAAACACAUUCAACAGUUGCACUAUUUAUAAGCAAUGACACAGUAUGUAACCUUAGGCCCUUAUAGUAGAAUAUGUACCUGAAAUGGUUGACUUAGUUUUUCACUUGAGUUGUCAGAUAUCCGAUGCAUGAAUAUACUCACCUAGCUCCUUCACAUCUUUGUAUCCCUCUUUACUGAUGACUCUUAACCUCAUUCCAUUUUAAACAGCCGAGACCAGAUACUGUCAGUACUCCCUCAAACAUACUAGUGGAAGUAAGACUUCAACACAGCCUACUCAUUUCCUUUCAUGUUUUUGGACACCAUUUUCAACGAUGCUGAAAUGUUCCUUUGCCUCUAACCUCUUACUUGCCUUAAAUGUAUAAGAACAUUAUAUAAUGAAAGGGGCAAUUGUUUCACUUUCAAAAUUCCCACCAACAGAAUAUUUGAGUUAAAAAGAAAAAGGGAAACACAAAGAAGGAACAGACAAAACCCCAAUAAUUCUCAGAUUUCAAGACAAAUUUAGAGUAACAGCUUCCUGCUAGUUGAAAAUCUGAAAAGGGGUCAAAAAAUAUAGCAACCAUGGAGGCAGGCAUACAUGUCCAAAAAACAAGAACAGAGAUCGAAGAACAAGGAUUUUCAAGCAGCAGCACACAGAAAGAUUUCAGCUUGGAAUUUUCAGAUCACCAGAAGAUCAAUCAGUUUUCAUUUGCAAACAAGUGUUUUUAUUUUUCCAGUACUAUAAGAGAUUUGGUUGGUUAGAUUACAUCUCCACUCAUAACAAGCAGAUCUACACUAACUAUUUAAUGUAUAUCUCCACCAGAAAUCCAAAUUAAGCAUUUAUGUCUACGAACAUUAGCGUCCUUCACCUCAUGUGAUUUGAUAAUUUCACAUCA
RNAcentral lists this long non-coding RNA (1463 nucleotides) under Solanum tuberosum (potato). RNAcentral's name for it is "long non-coding RNA (STUB_LNC003242)". Lineage: Eukaryota; Viridiplantae; Streptophyta; Magnoliopsida; Solanales; Solanaceae. The record is from RNAcentral.